This is a long non-coding RNA of Oreochromis aureus, 334 nucleotides long. Lineage: Eukaryota; Metazoa; Chordata; Actinopteri; Cichliformes; Cichlidae. The record is from Ensembl.
GGCAGCUAUCCACCGGUGUGUGACAGAAAGGACGUGCCGCGAAAGAGACAUACAAGGCGGUGAGGCUACCGCCGAUCGACCGGUGGUUGCUAACGCGGAGGUCAAUCGUGGAUCAGGGAAACCGAAGGCAGGAGCGUGAGGUGAACUGAAUUUCAGUAUUCCAUGGAGGAACUGAGGAACUGCUCGCCCAGCUCUGGAAUUACUGUCGAAGCAUUAUCCAGGCGGCAGAUCCACAUCAGAGACAUAUACAGAUGAACAGCAGGGGACGGUCUCCAUACACCCAGCUUCGCCUUCACGGAGGAGAAGGCGUCCUCGGAAGCAGCGUUCAGCCACA